GAAACCAGCCAGCCGACUGUGGGGUGCGCCUACGCCACUCCACAACUCCUUGUCUCCCUGCCUCUCGUCGUGAUCGCUCUUGCGAGCCUCCCCCGACGAGCUUCGACCUGGGAGUGGCUUCUUCCUGUGAGAAGAAGCGCGUGUCCCUAGAAAGGAGGUGAUCCAGCCGCACCUUCCGGUACGGCUA
RNAcentral lists this unclassified non-coding RNA (187 nucleotides) under uncultured fungus. Its description in RNAcentral is "sequence contains ITS1". Lineage: Eukaryota; Fungi. The record is from RNAcentral.